UGCCCCCUGAUUAAUUAAAUGGCCGCGGUAUUUUGACUGUGCUAAGGUAGCAUAAUCAUUAGUUUUUUAAUUGAAAGCUGGAAUGAAGGGUUGAAUGAGAAAAUAACUGUCUCUUAUAAAUUUUAUUAGAAUUUUAUUCUUAAGUUAAAAAGCUUAAAUAAUUUUAAAAGACGAGAAGACCCUAUAGAGUUUAAUAUAAAGAUUUUUAAUAAAAAUAAAGAAUUAAGAGUUUAUUUUAAGUUUUGUAUUUAAUUGGGGUGAUUAAAAAAUUUAAUUAACUUUUUUUUAAUUUAAAUAUAGAUAAAUAAUUAAUUGAGCCAAAUUUUUUGAUUAUAA
RNAcentral lists this ribosomal RNA (336 nucleotides) under Psylliodes affinis. RNAcentral describes it as "partial 16S large subunit ribosomal RNA". The record is from RNAcentral. Lineage: Eukaryota; Metazoa; Arthropoda; Insecta; Coleoptera; Chrysomelidae.